This 116-nucleotide ribosomal RNA is filed under the name Pteropus alecto (black flying fox). Lineage: Eukaryota; Metazoa; Chordata; Mammalia; Chiroptera; Pteropodidae. The record is from RNAcentral.
GUCUACGACCAUUCCACCCUGAACAAGCCUGAUAUCUGAUCUCGGAAGCUAAGCAGCGUCAGGCCUGGUUAGUACUUGGAUGAGAGACCACCUAGGAAGACCAGGUGCUGUAGGAA